Phoenix dactylifera (date palm) is the source of this 775-nucleotide non-coding RNA. NCBI's taxonomy places the organism in Eukaryota, Viridiplantae, Streptophyta, Magnoliopsida, Arecales, Arecaceae. The record is from RefSeq and is a predicted model, not a curated record.
CCCAAGCUGACCAAAUUAAGGCCAAGUAAUCCGUAUGGCUUUGUCCACGUCAGGCUCUCCAACCAUCACUUAUGCAUGGGGCAUGACGUCUGUCGCAUAGUUUCCCUCUUGUACAUGUCUCAUUGUGUGGUGGCUGCUAUCGACGUACGCCAAAUGGUGGUGGGAGUAGCCAUCACCGAUGCAGCAUUCACAUCUCGAACUCUCUCGCCUCCUCGCCAAAGUUUCUCAUUCAUUGCACCCAAUAAUUGUUGACGCCAGUACCCAAACAAACCUAUCGAUCUGAUCACUCCGGCAUGGGUCCGGCCGGGGCUUGUAGCUGAGGGGAAAGAUGAAUGUGGUGGGUUUGGUACGUACUCUUAGAUGCCUCGGCGAAGAACAGGUGGGAUCGAACCUCGCCAAGGGUGGAGGAUGAUGAGGAGUCGUGCUGGCGUAGUAAUAUUUUGACUGGGAAAGGAACAAAGGAAGCAACAAAAGGCUAUCUAUGCCCGUGGCGUUAUUGGCCAUACCGUGUAUUCUUGGAUAAUAUGAUCUCAAAGAAUUCGAGCAGAACAUGCCAGAUAUAGAUCUUCUUGUGAGGCAAUUACAGUAAUUGUUAUUGAGAAAAGAUAAUUAUACUGAUUGUUGCUUAGGUAUGUUUUGAGGUGCUUUCCAUGUCACGAUGAGAAUGUUACGUACUUGGUUUUAACGUUAAUGUUUGGUUUUAACCGUGAACCCGAUGUAACAGUGAAAGGUAGCAGAUCUGCAAAUCAAAUCAAUUUAUAUUAAUUUAUUGCUU